CCGGAGGGCCGGUGGCUGCGGGGCCGAUGUAUCCUUCUCGGCAGGCGUUAGAGGGGGCGGAGCUUCUCGAGACGGGGAGAGCACCGAUGGAGGGUGCUGUGACGCUGCAGCCGGUGCUAGCGGCGAUGGGGAAAGGUGCGGCUCGAGGCCUUUUCCGUCCAACAGGGAAGAGAUCGGCGAUUCGGGAGCGCGGGAGGCAUGUGCGCCACCGGCGAGCUGGGUACUCUUCUGCCGUCCUUCAUAUGUCUUCUCUGUCUCUCAUUUGUGUUCUGUGGUAGCCUGGUAGGUAUGGAGCCCUCAAGUUCGCGCGAGAUUUGCAUUCUCUGUGCCUUUUUUCAGCGCUUUGGAUUGUUUGGAGCCACAUCAGAUGUUGUUGAUGCCAGAACUGCAGAUAGCGCUGCCUAUGUGUGUUGUAGUGCUCGAUUUUUUGGGCGUUAGGUAGUUCGUCAUGCAUCUGUUUUGUGUUCUGAAGCAUGCUCAGUUGGUGAUGUUGAUUUGCAGUUGUAGGUAGCUAGCCAGCUGUAUGGGUAAUGCUUCAUUUUUCUUGUGUUAGGGUUGUAUGUAUGCCGUAAUUUGACAUCCGUUUGUUCUUAGCUCAUUUGUCCAUCGAAGAGAGAGGUCAUUAUAUUUGAAAGCGUGAAGCAGGUCGGCACUCUCCUACCCAAAACUCCAAAAGGGUGGGGUUAUUGCACUGCAAUACUGUUUGAUGAACUUGCAGAUCUUCUCCAAGGUAGAGCCUUGAGAGUUGAGAGUUGCUGCAGUAGUCCAACUUGUGUAAAAGCUAAAAGUAGGCCAUAUAAGAACAAUGUUGGUACUAUUAGUGUGGAUCUGUGCAAGUAAGAGAGAGACAUAUAUGUAGGUACAUAACUAUUUUUGCUGCUCAUGUUGAUUAUGCUUUUGCUCCCAUGUUUAUUUCUAAUUUAUGCUAAUGAUAUGUUCAGUUUUUGGAUUAGUUAGGGUUUUUGUUUGUGUCAACGUUGUGUGAGAUAGGUUACAGGUCAUGUUAAUGAUAUGGUGAUGCUAUGUUCUUGUAGAAUCUGUUUCGGUUUUUUCUUUUGUUCUUUAAUUUGGAUGUAGAUAGGCCUCCAUCAGAUGCUUGAAAUACAUAUAAAACAUGAACAAAUAGUUUUAGCAGUGGUUAGGCCUGCAGUUUAGCAGUCGUCUGUUAGUUGGAUUGAACAUUUAGGUUCAGCUGCAUCUUAAUUAGGAUGAUGUAGGACCACACAUAUUUUGAGAAUAUUCUGGAAUGGUUGUAGCUCAUUUUCUGAUUACUAGGCUGUACAUGUUGUGUUUUCGAGCUAUGCUUCCUCUCAUGUUGAGUUUCAGUGCUAUGUUUAUCAUUUUCUCUCUAAAUCAUCUUGCGAUGGGUUGUAGGCUUGUCAACAUAUAUAGUAUAUUUACCUUUGCUUGUCCGUGAGUAUUAGUUGUCCAGGCAAUGCUAGAUCAGAUAGCUUGAAGCUUUUACAAUCACAGCAACAAGGAAACUCGAGAAUGAAUCCUACUUAACCUAGUUCUCUUAUAUUACCAGAUGAGAACACACCGACUAAAGUAUUUUAAUCUUCAGUUUAGUACCUUUUUUAGUCUUCAGUUAGCAAUAAGAUUUAAAUCUUUAGAGUCCAGUUUAGUACCUUUCAAUCUUCGGUUUCCACUCCGUUUAGUUUGUUUCUUUUAGUCUUCAGUUAUGAUUUCAGUACCUUUCAAUCUUCAAUUUUCAGUUUUUUGUGUUUCAAGUAUUUUCUUCAAUCUUGAUAUUUUUCAGUCUUUAAAUCUUCAUUUCUUUCAGUCCUUCUAUAAGUCUUGUCCUUCAGUUUUCUAAGUCAUGUUCUUUCGUCUUGUUUUAGUUUCUCAGUUAUCUAAAACUGUAAAUGCAUGUUCUUCAGUUCUUUCAUUCUCUCUCGGUUAUCUAAGUCAUGUUGUUCUCUCAACUCAGUCUUAUUUUCUUUUAUUUUCUCAGUUUCAUAUGUCUCAAUCUCUUAGCCUUUUCUUGAUUCAGUCUCAUUUCUCUAUUCUUAUUCUCCAGUUUCUCAGUUUUUGUCACAUUUUUCAUUUUAGUUUCUCAUUUUCAUUUGUCUCAAUCUCUUAGCCUUUUCUUUAUUCAGUCUCAUUUCUCUGUUCUUAUUCUCCAGUUUCUCAGUUUUUAUCACUUUAGUCAUUUUAGUUUCUCAUUUUCAUUUGUCUCAUUCCCUUAGCCUUUUCUCAGGUUCUCUCUUUCUAUUUCUUCACUCAUUUUCCUUCAAUUAUUAGUUUAUAAUAUUGUCGUCUUUUGAGUUCCGUUGUUUCCUUCUCAGUUAUCUCUGUUUUUGUUCUUCGUCCUUCAGUCUUUAUUUUAAUUCUCUGUCAUGGGAAGCCUACAAAGGAAGAACUUACUAAUCUCCAGUCUAGCGUGGGAGAGCUCACUAAUCUCCGCGUUCUUCCGUGUUCCAUCCUUAAGUUACCUAUUUGUACUUCAGUAACUUUUCAGCUUGCUGCUAUGCGUCAUCUCACUCUUGUUCAUCUUCAUUAUUUAUGUCUGCAUUCUUCAUCUCACUGUCCCAAUCCGUCAGUUUGCAUUCCUGUACCCACUGUAUUAUUCGUCAACUGUAUUCAAUCGGAUGUAGUAUUACUCGCCAACCGUAUUCACUCGGAUGUAUGGCACCAGUCGCUCGUCUCCGUCAGGACGCCACCCCAGCUGCUACAUGAAUCAGGUGCCAACGGCAGCCGCUGCACUCCUCAAAGUGCAAAAAUAUUCGGUGCUUUUAGAAACUUGACAGCACCUAGGUCCACGGUGCACCGAUAUAUUUUUCCCAAAAGAAUGUCUUUCUUCAGCAAACCGCAUAACAACGGUGACCCGUAUGAGCAGAACCACGAGCUAUAUUCAUAAAAAGCUUGUUUACAAGAUUUUGCCAUCCUAGUACAGAACCACCAUGGCAAACAUGCAUGUCAUCAUAAAGAUGAGCAGACAGGAAAAUGUUGUCUUGGAGACGAGCGACUAGACCUCCAUGGCUCGCGCCGUUGCGCCACUAGUGCUCGCCAAGCUAUGCUGCAUGUCUCCCUCGGGCAGAAUCAUUGUCUUGGAGCCGUCCUUAUUCUAGAUUGAACUCUUAAUUUUACAUUUAUCAGUCUCUCUGUAAUAUUCUUUUACAAUUUUAAUCUUGAUUAUAAAUCAUCUAUUUUUAUUUUACAUCUUUAAUCUUGAAAUUCUGUUUAUAAGUUCGAAGUGAUAGUAUUUUGUCUGAAUUCUUCUGAGUAUAAUGUUGGUUCUUCA
Lolium rigidum is the source of this 3244-nucleotide long non-coding RNA. RefSeq lists it as uncharacterized. The record is from RefSeq and is a predicted model, not a curated record. The transcript is spliced from 3 exons. Lineage: Eukaryota; Viridiplantae; Streptophyta; Magnoliopsida; Poales; Poaceae.